Molecule: ribosomal RNA, 468 nt
Filed under: uncultured bacterium
Lineage: Bacteria
Description: partial 16S ribosomal RNA
Rfam family: Bacterial small subunit ribosomal RNA
Source: RNAcentral
GACGAGCGCUGGCGGCGUGCUUAACACAUGCAAGUCGAACGGAAAGGCCCUGCUUUUGUGGGGUUCUCGAGUGGCGAACGGGUGAGUAACACGUGAGUAACCUGCCCUUGACUUUGGGAUAACUUCAGGAAACUGGGGCUAAUACCGGAUAGGAGCUCCUGCUGCAUUGUGGGGGUUGGAAAGUUUCGGCGGUUGGGGAUGGACUCGCGGCUUAUCAGCUUGUUGGUGGGGUAGUGGCUUACCAAGGCUUUGACGGGUAGCCGUCCUGAGAGGGUGACCGGCCACAUUGGGACUGCGAUACGGCCCAGACUCCUACGGGAGGCAGCAGUGGGGAAUAUUGCACAAUGGGCGGAAGCCUGAUGCAGCAAAGCCGCGUGCGGGAUGACGGCAUUCGGGUUGUAAACCGCUUUCGCCUGUGACGAAGCGUGAGUGACGGUAAUGGGUAAAGAAGCACCGGCUAACUACGUG